RNAcentral lists this ribosomal RNA (149 nucleotides) under Nephroma australe. RNAcentral describes it as "partial 26S ribosomal RNA". It matches the Rfam family "Eukaryotic large subunit ribosomal RNA", at positions 1 to 147 of the family's 3401-position model. The record is from RNAcentral. Lineage: Eukaryota; Fungi; Ascomycota; Lecanoromycetes; Peltigerales; Nephromataceae.
UUGACCUCGAUCUGGUAGGGAUACCCGCUGAACUUAAGCAUAUCAAUAAGCGGAGGAAAAGAAACCAACAGGGAUUGCCUUAGUAACGGCGAGUGAAGCGGCAACAGCUCAAAUUUGAAAUCUGGACCCACGUCUGAUGCGGGGUUACC